CCUACGGGGGGCUGCAGUGGGGAAUAUUGGACAAUGGGGGCAACCCUGAUCCAGCCAUGCCGCGUGUGUGAAGAAGGCCCUCGGGUUGUAAAGCACUUUCAGUGAGGAAGAACGCCUGGUGGUUAAUACCCAUCAGGAAAGACAUCACUCACAGAAGAAGCACCGGCUAACUCCGUGCCAGCAGCCGCGGUAAUACGGAGGGUGCGAGCGUUAAUCGGAAUUACUGGGCGUAAAGCGCGCGUAGGUGGCUUGAUAAGCCGGUUGUGAAAGCCCCGGGCUCAACCUGGGAACGGCAUCCGGAACUGUCAAGCUAGAGUGCAGGAGAGGAAGGUAGAAUUCCCGGUGUAGCGGUGAAAUGCGUAGAGAUCGGGAGGAAUACCAGUGGCGAAGGCGGCCUUCUGGACUGACACUGACACUGAGGUGCGAGAGCGUGGGUAGCAAACAGGAUUAGAUACCCCUGUAGUC
This 465-nucleotide ribosomal RNA is filed under the name Vreelandella stevensii. RNAcentral describes it as "partial 16S ribosomal RNA". It matches the Rfam family "Bacterial small subunit ribosomal RNA", at positions 338 to 795 of the family's 1533-position model. Lineage: Bacteria; Pseudomonadati; Pseudomonadota; Gammaproteobacteria; Oceanospirillales; Halomonadaceae. The record is from RNAcentral.